AGCGAACGCUGGCGGCAGGCUUAACACAUGCAAGUCGAGCGGGCCCUUCGGGGUCAGCUGCAGACGGGUGAGUAACACGUGGGAACGUACCCUUUGGUUCGGAAUAACGCUGGGAAACUAGCGCUAAUACCGGAUACGCCCUUUUGGGGAAAGGCUUGCUGCCAAAGGAUCGGCCCGCGACUGAUUAGCUAGUUGGUGGGGUAAUGGCCUACCAAGGCCACGAUCAUUAGCUGGUCUGAGAGGAUGAUCAGCCACACUGGGGCCGAGACACGGCCGAGACUCCUACGGGGAGAGGAAGUGGGGAAUAUUGGAAAAUGGGCGAGAGCAUGAUGCAGUCCUGCCGCGUGAGUGAUGAAGGCCUUAGAGUUGUAAAGCUGUUUUGUCCGGGACGAUCAUGACGGUACCGGAAGAAUAAGCCCCGGCUAACUUCGUG
This 433-nucleotide ribosomal RNA is filed under the name uncultured bacterium. RNAcentral's name for it is "partial 16S ribosomal RNA". It matches the Rfam family "Bacterial small subunit ribosomal RNA", at positions 29 to 507 of the family's 1533-position model. The record is from RNAcentral.